This 455-nucleotide ribosomal RNA is filed under the name Burkholderia sp. 136. RNAcentral describes it as "bacterial SSU rRNA". It matches the Rfam family "Bacterial small subunit ribosomal RNA", at positions 123 to 570 of the family's 1533-position model. The record is from RNAcentral. Lineage: Bacteria; Pseudomonadati; Pseudomonadota; Betaproteobacteria; Burkholderiales; Burkholderiaceae.
AACGUGUCCUGUAGUGGGGGAUAGCUUGGCGAAAGCCGGAUUAAUACCGCAUACGAUCUACGGAAGAAAGCGGGGGAUCGCAAGACCUCGCGCUAUAGGGGCGGCCGAUGGCAGAUUAGCUAGUUGGUGGGGUAAAGGCCUACCAAGGCGACGAUCUGUAGCUGGUCUGAGAGGACGACCAGCCACACUGGGACUGAGACACGGCCCAGACUCCUACGGGAGGCAGCAGUGGGGAAUUUUGGACAAUGGGGGAAACCCUGAUCCAGCAAUGCCGCGUGUGUGAAGAAGGCCUUCGGGUUGUAAAGCACUUUUGUCCGGAAAGAAAACUUUUUUUUUUAAUACUGUGAGGGGAUGACGGUACCGGAAGAAUAAGCACCGGCUAACUACGUGCCAGCAGCCGCGGUAAUACGUAGGGGUGCGAGCGUUAAUCCGGAAUUACUGGGCGUAAAGCGUGC